CGGGGCGUGGCGCAGCCUGGUAGCGCGCUUGACUGGGGGUCAAGAGGUCCCGAGUUCAAAUCUCGGCGCCCCGA
RNAcentral lists this transfer RNA (74 nucleotides) under Actinomycetota bacterium. Its description in RNAcentral is "Actinobacteria bacterium tRNA-Pro". It matches the Rfam family "tRNA". From Rfam's summary of the family: Transfer RNA (tRNA) molecules are approximately 80 nucleotides in length. Their secondary structure includes four short double-helical elements and three loops (D, anti-codon, and T loops). The record is from RNAcentral. Lineage: Bacteria; Bacillati; Actinomycetota.